RNAcentral lists this transfer RNA (72 nucleotides) under Camelus bactrianus (Bactrian camel). It matches the Rfam family "tRNA". Rfam says of the family: Transfer RNA (tRNA) molecules are approximately 80 nucleotides in length. Their secondary structure includes four short double-helical elements and three loops (D, anti-codon, and T loops). Further hydrogen bonds mediate the characteristic L-shaped molecular structure. tRNAs have two regions of fundamental functional importance: the anti-codon, which is responsible for specific mRNA codon recognition, and the 3' end, to which the tRNAs corresponding amino acid is attached (by aminoacyl-tRNA synthetases). tRNAs cope with the degeneracy of the genetic code in two manners: having more than one tRNA (with a specific anti-codon) for a particular amino acid; and 'wobble' base-pairing, i.e. permitting non-standard base-pairing at the 3rd anti-codon position. The record is from Rfam by way of RNAcentral. Lineage: Eukaryota; Metazoa; Chordata; Mammalia; Artiodactyla; Camelidae. RNAcentral also lists the same sequence under 2 other names.
GUGGGUGUAGCUUGGUGGUAGAGUGCAUGAUUAACAUGCAUGAGGUCCUGGGUUCAAUCUCCAGUACCUCCA